GGGCCAGAGGAGGCAGCACCAUGGAGAAGAAUAAUCCAAGGGCUUCUCUCAGUUCCUCACAGAGACACGCUUCAUCAUAGGCACCAUACAUGGGCAGGUGGGAAUGCUGUUAGCCUCCAGACAACUCUUGCACAGCCAUGGAUGGCAAUACUGCCUGUGCAGCACAGCCGUGGAUGGAUGGCAACACUGCGAGGAAAACUCAGGAGCCUCACGAUUCAGAAUCCUGUAUUGUGGAACCUAACAGCAUGUAAAAAAUUGCAGGAUAGUGUGAGUUUGAAGGAACCCGCAAGGAUCAUGGAGUCCAGCCCCUGGCCCUACACAGGGCACCCUAAGGGUCACACCAUGAGCCCAGGAGAG
Molecule: long non-coding RNA, 357 nt
Organism: Hirundo rustica (Barn swallow)
Lineage: Eukaryota; Metazoa; Chordata; Aves; Passeriformes; Hirundinidae
Exons: 3
Source: RefSeq, a predicted model, not a curated record